RNAcentral lists this ribosomal RNA (282 nucleotides) under Pratylenchus penetrans. Its description in RNAcentral is "partial large subunit ribosomal RNA". It matches the Rfam family "Eukaryotic large subunit ribosomal RNA", at positions 649 to 905 of the family's 3401-position model. The record is from RNAcentral. Lineage: Eukaryota; Metazoa; Nematoda; Chromadorea; Rhabditida; Pratylenchidae.
CCGUCUUGAAACACGGACCAAGGAGUUUAUCGUGUGCGCAAGUCAUUGGGUGUUGAAAACUCAAAGGCGCAAUGAAAGUAAAGAAUCCGCAAGGAUACGACGUGUGAUCUGAGCAAUCACGAUUGCCUGGAGCAACAUGGCCCCAUUCUGGUCGCUUGCGACGGGGUGGAGGAAGAGCGUACGCGGUGAGACCCGAAAGAUGGUGAACUAUUCCUGAGCAGGAUGAAGCCAGAGGAAACUCUGGUGGAAGUCCGAAGCGAUUCUGACGUGCAAAUCGAUCGU